RNAcentral lists this ribosomal RNA (615 nucleotides) under Colletotrichum gloeosporioides. RNAcentral's name for it is "eukaryotic LSU rRNA". The stretch from base 244 to 397 matches the Rfam family "5.8S ribosomal RNA". Lineage: Eukaryota; Fungi; Ascomycota; Sordariomycetes; Glomerellales; Glomerellaceae. The record is from RNAcentral.
UUCCCGGCUUUCUUCGCGGAGACUGCUGUUGGAAUAUAUCCGUAGGUGAACCUGCGGAAGCGGAACAUUAUGAGUCGUCGCUCUGCAGCCCUUUGUGAACAUACCUAUAACUGUUGCUUCGGCGGGUAGGGUCUCCGUGACUCUCGACCGGGCUCCCGCCCCCGGGCGGGUCGGCGCCCGCCGGAGGAUAACCAAACUCUGAUUCAACGACGUUUAUUUUGAGUGGUACAAGCAAAUAAUCAAAACUUUUAACAACGGAUCUCUUGGUUCUGGCAUCGAUGAAGAACGCAGCGAAAUGCGAUAAGUAAUGUGAAUUGCAGAAUUCAGUGAAUCAUCGAAUCUUUGAACGCACAUUGCGCCCGCCAGCAUUCUGGCGGGCAUGCCUGUUCGAGCGUCAUUUCAACCCUCAAGCUCUGCUUGGUGUUGGGGCCCUACAGCUGAUGUAGGCCCUCAAAGGUAGUGGCGGACCCUCCCGGAGCCUCCUUUGCGUAGUAACUUUACGUCUCGCAAUGGGAUCCGGAGGGACUCUUGCCGUAAAACCCCCCAAUUUUCCAAAGGUUGACCUCGGAUCAGGUAGGAAUACGUCGCUGAACUUAAGCAUAUCAAUAAACGAAG